This 497-nucleotide ribosomal RNA is filed under the name uncultured bacterium. RNAcentral describes it as "partial 16S ribosomal RNA". It matches the Rfam family "Bacterial small subunit ribosomal RNA", at positions 28 to 507 of the family's 1533-position model. The record is from RNAcentral.
GAUGAUCGCUGGCGGCGUGCCUAAUACAUGCAAGUCGAGCGAACAGACGAGGAGCUUGCUCCUUCGACGUUAGCGGCGGACGGGUGAGUAACACGUAGGUAACCUACCUAUAAGACUGGGAUAACUUCGGGAAACCGGAGCUAAUACCGGAUAAUAUUUCGAACCGCAUGGUUCGAUAGUGAAAGAUGGCUUUGCUAUCACUUAUAGAUGGACCUGCGCCGUAUUAGCUAGUUGGUAAGGUAACGGCUUACCAAGGCAACGAUACGUAGCCGACCUGAGAGGGUGAUCGGCCACACUGGAACUGAGACACGGUCCAGACUCCUACGGGAGGCAGCAGUAGGGAAUCUUCCGCAAUGGGCGAAAGCCUGACGGAGCAACGCCGCGUGAGUGAUGAAGGUCUUCGGAUCGUAAAACUCUGUUAUUAGGGAAGAACAAACGUGUAAGUAACUGUGCACGUCUUGACGGUACCUAAUCAGAAAGCCACGGCUAACUACGUG